Molecule: transfer RNA, 72 nt
Filed under: Ixodes scapularis (black-legged tick)
Lineage: Eukaryota; Metazoa; Arthropoda; Arachnida; Ixodida; Ixodidae
Rfam family: tRNA
About the family: Transfer RNA (tRNA) molecules are approximately 80 nucleotides in length.
Source: Rfam by way of RNAcentral
UCCUGGUUGGCUCAGUUGGUAAAGCGCUCCACUGGAAAUGGAGAGGUCCCAGGUUCGGUACAGGACCAGGCG